CCUACGGGUGGCAGCAGUGAGGAAUAUUGGUCAAUGGACGAGAGUCUGAACCAGCCAAGUAGCGUGAAGGAUGACUGCCCUAUGGGUUGUAAACUUCUUUUAUAUGGGAAUAAAACGUUCCACGUGUGGGAUUUUGUAUGUACCAUAUGAAUAAGGAUCGGCUAACUCCGUGCCAGCAGCCGCGGUAAUACGGCGGGUCCGAGCGUUAUCCGGAUUUAUUGGGUUUAAAGGGAGCGUAGGGGGAUUGUUAAGUCAGUUGUGAAAGUUUGCGGCUCAACCGUAAAAUUGCAGUUGAAACUGGCAGUCUUGAGUACAGUAGAGGUGGGCGGAAUUCGUGGUGUAGCGGUGAAAUGCUUAGAUAUCACGAAGAACUCCGAUUGCGAAGGCAGUUCACUGGACUGCAACCGACACUGAGGCUCGAAAGUGUGGGUAUCAAACAGGAUUAGAUACCCUUGUAGUC
Molecule: ribosomal RNA, 460 nt
Filed under: uncultured bacterium
Lineage: Bacteria
Description: partial 16S ribosomal RNA
Rfam family: Bacterial small subunit ribosomal RNA
Source: RNAcentral